AAAAUAUUUGUAAAUAUCGUUAAUCAUAGUUAGUAAUACAUACGAACUAUAUAAGUUCUGUGCAGUUAUGCAUUGGUAAAUAUGCUAAAACGAUAGUCUCCUGUUGAGAAAUUUAUAAAUUGCUUUGUUAGGUAUUGGAAUUAGAACAUACCUUAACAAUCAUAGAUUGAAAAAAAUAAAUGUUUAUUUUCCAAAUACCUAUCACUUAAAGCUUAGGCGAAAAUUAAAAAAAAAAAAAAAAAAAAAACAAAUGCGCACGCAUAAAUCAAUAAGAGGAAAAACAAAACCACUUAUUCGAUACACUGGCGCUAGCGCUGAUCACGAGCUGAUGCGCUAGUGGCGCUACACAGACCAAAAUUAUUUAUCUUUUACGACAAUUUUGUUAUCGUAUUUUUGCUAAUUUUUUUAAACAUUAAAAUUGUCUAUGAUAAUAAGGAACUGUCAAAAGAGCUAUGAACUCUACAGAGGCACUCCAAGAGCAGCGACAUUUUAUCUAUAGCUGUCAACAUUGUCAUUAGCGACAUCUAGUGAACACCGUAGUAUUCUUAACUAUUUACAGCAGUCGCAAAGUUAUAUAGAAGCAGAGAAGUCGAAAAACAGGAGAUGUCACCACUUGUUAUGAGAAUUAUAGAUAACACAUGAUGGCAGGUAAGUCGAAUUUUAGGGAAAUUUCUAGUUUACUACUAUUCAUCAGUGUGAAGAACUGUUGACAAAUGAUUGUAAAUUGGUUGUUGUUUUACGUGAGGCAGUUCAUAACGAACUAGAAAAAUACCUAAGCGUGAAUAAAGGAACGAGGAACAAUUAAAGUCCAGCUGUUGUUUGCAGAAAACAAAAAUAAAAGUGAAAUUGUAAAGAUUAUGAAAUGUCUACAUAGUACCGUAAGGUAUAUUUUAAAUCGGUACAAGAUGACCACAGGACACGAAAACUUGAUACGAAGUAAAAGGAAAAGAAUUACAUCUGCAAGAGAAGACAGACAGUUAAUGCGAAUUUCUUUGAAAAAUCGUAAGAAAAUAUCUGAAUUGGCUGCUGAACUAAGUGAGACACUGAGAAAAAAGAUUUCUGCUAGAACUGCUAGAAGAAGGCUCCAGAAUGCUGAGUUCAAGGGUUGCAAGGCAAGGAAGUAGCCAUUGUUGUCUGAGGAGUACAAGAAAUUUUAAAAAUAAACAAGACGGUGAAAAUUGAUUUACAAACUAGCUCGAUACCCACUUAUCAAUAAUAAUAAAGGUGACAGAGUGAAACAUAGCAAAUGUUUAAAUAUCAAUAAAUAAUUGAUAACAGUACAAUAAUGUCAAAUAAAUUAGUAAAUUCCUAUUUCAUAUUUACUUGUGUCAAAUUCUAAAAGAAAUAAAGUGGAAUAAGAACAGUUAAACGGGGGUUAUUAACCGCUGUUGGUGGGUUGUUUGUAAGUUUUCUAACAAAUAUACUUAAGUUGAAUGACGUUUUGUUCAUAUUAUUGGUAAACAUCUUUAAACCUUCACUUUUAAAUCUUAGCAUAAAAGGUUGCCUGGAAGAGAUCGCUCUUAGCGAUAUGGCCGCCCAUUGUUUUCUCAGUGUAAUAUUUUUUUGUAAUUGUUUGUAUUUAUAAUAAGUUUACUAUUGUGAUCUUAUGGUGGAAACAAACAGUUUCUAUCUAUCUAUAUAAAGUGCUGUGUCACGAUGUUCGUUCAUGUUAAUCUCCGAAAUCGAUUUACCGUAUUUAAUGAAAUUUUAUCAAUGUGUAUUAUUGAUUUCAACUCAUGAGAUAGGAUUAUGUUUCAAUCAAUCCGGGUCAUCUAGACCCUCCUAGGAGGGUUAGGUGGGCGCGUCGGGGCGGCUCCUUUUGCCUCGGCUUAAACUCCGGGAGCGACUAUCCCCAGGUCACUAGCACUGAGCUCUUUCUUGAUUGUAUUUAUACUAAUAAUAAGUUGCGGUAUCAUUGUACUUCCUCGAGUAAAUAAAUGAGUGCUAUCAUUUAUUUAAUUAUAUUUACCAACUAAGUAAGUAAGACAGUUUCCCAAUUAGCUCCCUUAGCAAUCACACUAUUUACAAACAACAACAUUUAUUUAUUGAACAUUUUCUAAAUAAUUUAAUGCCAUUCUGCGAAACUCGACAAGUUUACAAGUUUCCUACCUCUAUUCCUUUUAUAGUUUACCUGUUUCACUAGCUCUAUUCUUCUCAAUGGAAUAUGGAAAAAGUUCCUUCGACGUGCUUGAUCAUAAUUAGAAGGCUCUCGAAUGGACAUCGAUGUCAAGAUGCUAUGAUUAUAUUUAUUCCCUUUAAACACUUCAAAAUAUAUUCAAAGACAAUUUUCGUUUUACUUCAUUUAUAUGAAUAAUUACCAUAUCUUCAAAACCAAUUCUUAUUAUAGAAUUAUAAACAAAUUCAAGUUUUGGCACUAUAUUAAUGAUAUUUUUAACAUUAACUCUCUUAUUCAUAAAAACGCCAAAUAUUUCCUUAUUAACCUAUUUUAGCCACUGAAGUAUUUUGUCUUUUCUCAGUUCAGUUAGGCUUUGGGGAGGUUUUAAGAGGGACGUUGCUACCCGUCCCUCGACCAUUAAGCUCCCUUAGUCGCCUCUUACGACACCCACGGGAAAGGAAGGGGUAGCUCAUUCCAUGCCGGGACUACUCGGCAUAACGGCGCUUUGGAAUAUAUCAAAGUAUAAUGAUAUUAGAAAAUUCUUACUGGAAAAUUAUAAUAAAGUAACAACUAAUAGUUUAUAUUUAAGUAUUUAAACUGAAUAAAUGCUGUGAAGAAGACUUUUCUUA
Long non-coding RNA from Galleria mellonella (greater wax moth), 2745 nucleotides. RefSeq lists it as uncharacterized. The record is from RefSeq and is a predicted model, not a curated record. NCBI's taxonomy places the organism in Eukaryota, Metazoa, Arthropoda, Insecta, Lepidoptera, Pyralidae. The transcript has 2 exons.